ACCGAAUAGAUACCCUGGUAGUCCACGCCCUAAACGAUGUCAACUAGCUGUUGGGGUUUAUUAACCUUGGUAGCGCAGCCAAACGCGUGAAGUUGACCGCCUGGGGAGUACGGUCGCAAGAUUAAAACUCAAAGGAAUUGACGGGGACCCGCACAAGCGGUGGAUGAUGUGGAUUAAUUCGAUGCAACGCGAAAAACCUUACCUACCCUUGACAUGUCCGGGAUCCUGCAGAGAUGCGGGAGUGCUCGCAAGAGAACUGGAACACAGGUGCUGCAUGGCUGUCGUCAGCUCGUGUCGUGAGAUGUUGGGUUAAGUCCCGCAACGAGCGCAACCCUUGCCACUAGUUGCUACAUUGAGUUGGGCACUCUAGUGGGACUGCCGGUGACAAACCGGAGGAAGUGGGGAUGACGUCAAGUCCUCAUGGCCCUUAUGGG
Molecule: ribosomal RNA, 434 nt
Filed under: uncultured bacterium
Lineage: Bacteria
Description: bacterial SSU rRNA
Rfam family: Bacterial small subunit ribosomal RNA
Source: RNAcentral